GAUGAACGCUGGCGGCGUGCUUAACACAUGCAAGUCGAGCGGAGGUUUAAAGCGGAAGUUUUCGGAUGGAAGCAAUAAACCUUAGCGGCGGACGGGUGAGUAACGCGUGGGUAACCUGCCUCAUACAGGGGGAUAACAGUUAGAAAUGACUGCUAAAACCGCAUAAGCGCACAUUGUCGAGUGACAGAGUGUGAAAAACUCCGGUGGUAUGAGAUGGACCCGCGUCUGAUUAGCUAGUUGGUGAGGUAACGGCCCACCAAGGCGACGAUCAGUAGCCGGCCUGAGAGGGCGACCGGCCACAUUGGGACUGAGACACGGCCCAA
Molecule: ribosomal RNA, 323 nt
Filed under: uncultured bacterium
Lineage: Bacteria
Description: bacterial SSU rRNA
Rfam family: Bacterial small subunit ribosomal RNA
Source: RNAcentral